Molecule: non-coding RNA, 426 nt
Organism: Cinara cedri
Lineage: Eukaryota; Metazoa; Arthropoda; Insecta; Hemiptera; Aphididae
Source: the annotation of a GenBank genome assembly
GGUAAAUAAACUACUAAAAAUUAAAAAUGUCAUUCAUCAUAAGUUCCAUUCAGUAGUAAACAUUUUUUUUAAUUCCGAUUUUCCAACAAACCGUCAACAAUAUUAGGCGAAUAAUUUGCAAAUUUAUUUUCAGGAGAAAUGCAAUUUCGACGUUAUUAAAACAAACUCGUAUCGUGCGGAAUUCAUUUUACAACACAGGGUACGUAGUAUUUAUUAAGUUGGAUAUUUUUUACGCAGAAAUUCGUCAUGAAAAUUAUAUUGUUAAACGAAUCACAAUUAUAUGUACCUACCUAAAAUAUUUCCUGUCCCUGUCACAAGAUUAGGCGUUCCGGGCUAAUAACAAUUAAAAUCGACAACCGUUAAUGUUAAAACGAUAUUAUUGUAUUUCCAGGGUCUUUGUCGGCCACGUAGGCUCGACACGGAUUC